GAAACGAUGUGGGAAGGCCCAGACAGCCAGGAUGUUGGCUUAGAAGCAGCCAUCAUUUAAAGAAAGCGUAAUAGCUCACUGGUCGAGUCGGCCUGCGCGGAAGAUGUAACGGGGCUAAACCAUGCACCGAAGCUGCGGCAGCGACACUGUGUGUUGUUGGGUAGGGGAGCGUUCUGUAAGCCUGCGAAGGUGUGCUGUGAGGCAUGCUGGAGGUAUCAGAAGUGCGAAUGCUGACAUAAGUAACGAUAAAGCGGGUGAAAAGCCCGCUCGCCGGAAGACCAAGGGUUCCUGUCCAACGUUAAUCGGGGCAGGGUGAGUCGACCCCUAAGGCGAGGCCGAAAGGCGUAGUCGAUGGGAAACAGGUUAAUAUUCCUGUACUUGGUGUUACUGCGAAGGGGGGACGGAGAAGGCUAUGUUGGCCGGGCGACGGUUGUCCCGGUUUAAGCGUGUAGGCUGGUUUUCCAGGCAAAUCCGGAAAAUCAAGGCUGAGGCGUGAUGACGAG
Molecule: ribosomal RNA, 503 nt
Filed under: Escherichia coli
Lineage: Bacteria; Pseudomonadati; Pseudomonadota; Gammaproteobacteria; Enterobacterales; Enterobacteriaceae
Description: bacterial LSU rRNA
Rfam family: Bacterial large subunit ribosomal RNA
Source: RNAcentral